UGACUGUGCUAAGGUAGCAUAAUAAUUUGCCUUUUAAUUGAAGGCUAGAAUGAAAGGUUUAACUUGACCUCAACUGUCUCAUUUGCAAAGUCUUGAAAUUAGAUUUUGGGUGAAAAUCCCCAAAUGCUUCAGGGGGACGAGAAGACCCCGUAGAUCUUAACUUAGUCCAAUCUUAACUUGGUUGGUUACUCAGUUUACCUGGGAGGGGGUUUAUGAACACUUUAUACUUUAAAGGGUAAUAGCCCUAAUUUGUGGACCCAUAGAAAUGGGAGUUAGAAAAAGUUACCUCGGGGAUAACAGCGCUAUGAACCUCUCUUAGGCCAGAUGGGGUGAGGUAGUUUGCGACCUCGAUGUUGAAUUAAA
This 363-nucleotide ribosomal RNA is filed under the name Linognathoides urocitelli. RNAcentral describes it as "Linognathoides sp. 1 SEG-2019 partial large subunit ribosomal RNA". It matches the Rfam family "Bacterial large subunit ribosomal RNA", at positions 1943 to 2541 of the family's 2925-position model. Lineage: Eukaryota; Metazoa; Arthropoda; Insecta; Psocodea; Polyplacidae. The record is from RNAcentral.